This 487-nucleotide ribosomal RNA is filed under the name uncultured bacterium. RNAcentral's name for it is "bacterial SSU rRNA". It matches the Rfam family "Bacterial small subunit ribosomal RNA", at positions 29 to 518 of the family's 1533-position model. The record is from RNAcentral.
AACUAACGCUGGCGGCGUGCCUAACACAUGCAAGUCGAACGGUAACAGGUCUUCGGAUGCUGACGAGUGGCGAACGGGUGAGUAAUACAUCGGAACGUGCCCGAUCGUGGGGGAUAACGCAGCGAAAGCUGUGCUAAUACCGCAUACGAUCUACGGAUGAAAGCGGGGGAUCGCAAGACCUCGCGCGGACGGAGCGGCCGAUGGCAGAUUAGGUAGUUGGUGGGAUAAAAGCUUACCAAGCCGACGAUCUGUAGCUGGUCUGAGAGGACGACCAGCCACACUGGGACUGAGACACGGCCCAGACUCCUACGGGAGGCAGCAGUGGGGAAUUUUGGACAAUGGGCGCAAGCCUGAUCCAGCCAUGCCGCGUGCAGGAUGAAGGCCUUCGGGUUGUAACUGCUUUUAUACAGGAAGAAACACUGGUUCGUGAACCAGCUUGACGGUACUGUAAGAAUAAGGAUCGGCUAACUCCGUGCCAGCAGCCGAC